Bos taurus (domestic cattle) is the source of this 463-nucleotide long non-coding RNA. Lineage: Eukaryota; Metazoa; Chordata; Mammalia; Artiodactyla; Bovidae. The record is from Ensembl.
CUUUCUUUCAUCCAAAGUCCAACAAGAAGGAGCCAGUGAAUAUUUUAGCAGAAUUGUCACUUGAAGAAAAGUGUUGUGCAGGAACAUUGACCUUGACCUCAUGGCUCAGCAUGGCUCAGAGAAGAGACCCAGAGGCAGGGAGACCAGGUCUCCAGCUCCUGGCACUUCUUACCAGUAUCAGCUUCAUCACUGCUGCUUUUAUUCUUGUGUCUGGACACCCUGGGCUUGAAAUAAAGAUGCUGCACUACUGUACUCUACACAGGACUGAAUAAUAAAGUACAGAAGAGAACAACCACUUGUAGCAGAUGCAAGCACCUGACGAUGUACGCCAGACAUGGAAACUAACUUACAUGGUUAGAUAUGCCAAUCCUCCUUAAUGCUCUUGAUCUACAUGAUGAACUCGCACCCUGCACCACAGAGUAGAACCCCUGUUUGGCCCAGGACUCAGGGAGUUGAAGUCAGG